Molecule: long non-coding RNA, 562 nt
Filed under: Callithrix jacchus (white-tufted-ear marmoset)
Lineage: Eukaryota; Metazoa; Chordata; Mammalia; Primates; Cebidae
Description: lncRNA (ENSCJAG00000071541.1)
Source: RNAcentral
CUAAAACCCCCUAACUAACAACCAAUAGGUAAUAUCUGGGAAGAUCAUGACCCCAUAGUACUCAGCCAAUGAGGAACUGGGGGAGGAACCUGUGCACUAGGGAAUAAAUAAAUAAAUUGUGCCUGCUCAGCAGACACAUGAUCUUUCAAGACUGUCAUUAAAAUUCUCGCUUCUGUUGUUCUUUAUGUCUAAGAGUCCAUUUUUUGUGUUUGGUCAGGUGAGUUUGUUUCCCAUAACCUGUGGACCCAUCCAGGAUUUCUGUGCUUUUGUGGAGUGAGACUCCAGAUGAGCAGGGAGAGAUGCUGCUCUUGAUUUUAGGUGACCCGUUCUGACUGAGUGGCCCAGCUCCCAACAGCAGCCAUAGAUGAACCCAAGAUCAUUAUUCAGGAGGCAGUGGAGACAACAUGGGGAGAAAAACCAGGCACCAUGGCAACCACACAAAUUUGUGCAUCAGCCAAAGGAGGAAAACUGGACUGGAAUAUGAAUCACUCCUCUUGCCUCUCUAGGCAGGGGGAAGAGUUCAAUAAGCACAUGGGAGAACUCUCAACUUGUACGCACAUUC